UACGUAGAGGGCGAGCGUUGUCCGGAGUUACUGGGCGUAAAGCGCACGCAGGCGGUCUGUUAAGUUUGGAGUGGCAGUUGGUGGCUCAACCACCAAAGUGCUUUGAAAACUGAUAGACUUGAGGGCUUCAGAGGGACACGGAAUUCCGGGUGGAGUGGUGAAAUGCGUAGAGAUCCGGAGGAACACCAAAGGCGAAGGCAGUGUCCUGGGGAGUACCUGACGCUCAGGUGCGAAAGCCAGGGGAGCGAACGGG
RNAcentral lists this ribosomal RNA (253 nucleotides) under uncultured bacterium. RNAcentral's name for it is "partial 16S ribosomal RNA". It matches the Rfam family "Bacterial small subunit ribosomal RNA", at positions 524 to 776 of the family's 1533-position model. The record is from RNAcentral.